This 278-nucleotide ribosomal RNA is filed under the name uncultured bacterium. RNAcentral describes it as "partial 16S ribosomal RNA". It matches the Rfam family "Bacterial small subunit ribosomal RNA", at positions 74 to 354 of the family's 1533-position model. The record is from RNAcentral.
CCUGCACCUGCCGGCGACCGGCGCACGGGUGAGUAACACGUAUGGAACCUGCCCGCCACAGGGGGAUAACCCGGGGAAACCCGGCCUAAUACCCCAUGCCGCCCGGACCGGGCAUCCGGUCCGGGCGAAAGGAGGAAUCCGGUGGCGGCUGGGCAUGCGGCGCAUUAGCUUGACGGCGGGGUAACGGCCCACCGUGGCGACGAUGCGUAGGGGUUCUGAGAGGAAGGCCCCCCACACUGGAACUGAGACACGGCCCAGACUCCUACGGAAGGCAGCAG